Molecule: non-coding RNA, 76 nt
Organism: Flavisolibacter ginsengisoli DSM 18119
Lineage: Bacteria; Pseudomonadati; Bacteroidota; Chitinophagia; Chitinophagales; Chitinophagaceae
Source: Rfam
AGGGACGUAGCCCCGCCAGAGGCGGGGCACUAGCAUGGGGUGCUAGGGGUCGCAAGUUCGAAUCUUGUCGUCCCGA